This 301-nucleotide ribosomal RNA is filed under the name uncultured bacterium. RNAcentral's name for it is "partial 16S ribosomal RNA". It matches the Rfam family "Bacterial small subunit ribosomal RNA", at positions 509 to 807 of the family's 1533-position model. The record is from RNAcentral.
CAGCAGCCGCGGUAAUACGAAGGGGGCUAGCGUUGCUCGGAAUUACUGGGCGUAAAGGGCGCGUAGGCGGCGCUCCAAGUUAGGCGUGAAAUUCCCGGGCUCAACCUGGGGACUGCGCUUAAGACUGGAGUGCUUGAGGAUGGAAGAGGGUUGUGGAAUUCCCAGUGUAGAGGUGAAAUUCGUAGAUAUUGGGAAGAACACCGGUGGCGAAGGCGGCAACCUGGUCCAUUACUGACGCUGAGGCGCGAUAGCGUGGGGAGCAAACAGGAUUAGAUACCCCCGUAGUCCCUGUCUCUUAUAC